This 1536-nucleotide ribosomal RNA is filed under the name Klebsiella pneumoniae. RNAcentral describes it as "bacterial SSU rRNA". It matches the Rfam family "Bacterial small subunit ribosomal RNA". The record is from RNAcentral. Lineage: Bacteria; Pseudomonadati; Pseudomonadota; Gammaproteobacteria; Enterobacterales; Enterobacteriaceae.
UUGAAGAGUUUGAUCAUGGCUCAGAUUGAACGCUGGCGGCAGGCCUAACACAUGCAAGUCGAGCGGUAGCACAGAGAGCUUGCUCUCGGGUGACGAGCGGCGGACGGGUGAGUAAUGUCUGGGAAACUGCCUGAUGGAGGGGGAUAACUACUGGAAACGGUAGCUAAUACCGCAUAACGUCGCAAGACCAAAGUGGGGGACCUUCGGGCCUCAUGCCAUCAGAUGUGCCCAGAUGGGAUUAGCUAGUAGGUGGGGUAACGGCUCACCUAGGCGACGAUCCCUAGCUGGUCUGAGAGGAUGACCAGCCACACUGGAACUGAGACACGGUCCAGACUCCUACGGGAGGCAGCAGUGGGGAAUAUUGCACAAUGGGCGCAAGCCUGAUGCAGCCAUGCCGCGUGUGUGAAGAAGGCCUUCGGGUUGUAAAGCACUUUCAGCGGGGAGGAAGGCGGUGAGGUUAAUAACCUCAUCGAUUGACGUUACCCGCAGAAGAAGCACCGGCUAACUCCGUGCCAGCAGCCGCGGUAAUACGGAGGGUGCAAGCGUUAAUCGGAAUUACUGGGCGUAAAGCGCACGCAGGCGGUCUGUCAAGUCGGAUGUGAAAUCCCCGGGCUCAACCUGGGAACUGCAUUCGAAACUGGCAGGCUAGAGUCUUGUAGAGGGGGGUAGAAUUCCAGGUGUAGCGGUGAAAUGCGUAGAGAUCUGGAGGAAUACCGGUGGCGAAGGCGGCCCCCUGGACAAAGACUGACGCUCAGGUGCGAAAGCGUGGGGAGCAAACAGGAUUAGAUACCCUGGUAGUCCACGCCGUAAACGAUGUCGAUUUGGAGGUUGUGCCCUUGAGGCGUGGCUUCCGGAGCUAACGCGUUAAAUCGACCGCCUGGGGAGUACGGCCGCAAGGUUAAAACUCAAAUGAAUUGACGGGGGCCCGCACAAGCGGUGGAGCAUGUGGUUUAAUUCGAUGCAACGCGAAGAACCUUACCUGGUCUUGACAUCCACAGAACUUAGCAGAGAUGCUUUGGUGCCUUCGGGAACUGUGAGACAGGUGCUGCAUGGCUGUCGUCAGCUCGUGUUGUGAAAUGUUGGGUUAAGUCCCGCAACGAGCGCAACCCUUAUCCUUUGUUGCCAGCGGUUCGGCCGGGAACUCAAAGGAGACUGCCAGUGAUAAACUGGAGGAAGGUGGGGAUGACGUCAAGUCAUCAUGGCCCUUACGACCAGGGCUACACACGUGCUACAAUGGCAUAUACAAAGAGAAGCGACCUCGCGAGAGCAAGCGGACCUCAUAAAGUAUGUCGUAGUCCGGAUUGGAGUCUGCAACUCGACUCCAUGAAGUCGGAAUCGCUAGUAAUCGUAGAUCAGAAUGCUACGGUGAAUACGUUCCCGGGCCUUGUACACACCGCCCGUCACACCAUGGGAGUGGGUUGCAAAAGAAGUAGGUAGCUUAACCUUCGGGAGGGCGCUUACCACUUUGUGAUUCAUGACUGGGGUGAAGUCGUAACAAGGUAACCGUAGGGGAACCUGCGGUUGGAUCACCUCCUU